RNAcentral lists this ribosomal RNA (453 nucleotides) under uncultured Acidovorax sp. RNAcentral describes it as "bacterial SSU rRNA". It matches the Rfam family "Bacterial small subunit ribosomal RNA", at positions 927 to 1382 of the family's 1533-position model. Lineage: Bacteria; Pseudomonadati; Pseudomonadota; Betaproteobacteria; Burkholderiales; Comamonadaceae. The record is from RNAcentral.
AAGCGGUGGAUGAUGUGGCUUAAUUCGAUGCAACGCGAAAACCUUACCCACCUUUGACAUGUACGGAAUCCUUUAGAGAUAGAGGAGUGCUCGAAAGAGAGCCGUAACACAGGUGCUGCAUGGCUGUCGUCAGCUCGUGUCGUGAGGUGUUGGGUUAAGUCCCGCAACGAGCGCAACCCUUGUCAUUAGUUGCUACAUUCAGUUGGGCACUCUAAUGAGACUGCCGGUGACAAACCGGAGGAAGUGGGGAUGACGUCAAGUCCCCAUGGCCCUUAUAGGUGGGGCUACACACGUCAUACAAUGGAUGGUACAAAGGGUCGCCAACCCGCGAGGGGGAGCCAAUCCCAUAAAGCCAUUCGUAGUCCGGAUCGCAGUCUGCAACUCGACUGCGUGAAGUCGGAAUCGCUAGUAAUCGUGGAUCAGAAUGUCACGGUGAAUACGUUCCCGGGCCUU